CAAAGCACUAAGAUCUUUUGAUUAAAACUUAAAGAGCAUGGCGGCCCCAAAAAAGUUCAGGGGAACUUACCGAGUAAUAGACAACCCACACGUCACCUCUCUUGGUUUACAGUUUGUAUACCGCCGUCUAAGUACUGCUUAUGGUAGUGCUAAAAUAAAAAGCUAAUAGGACAGGCCAUGGUGCAGCUAAUAAUUAAGUUUCAGGCGAGUUACAAUAAAACUUUUUUUUUCAAAAAUUUUUAAAUUUAUUUAUGAAGUGGACUUGAAAGUAAAAUUUAAAAGAAAUAUAAUUUGAAUUUAUUAUUUUGUGGUGC
RNAcentral lists this ribosomal RNA (314 nucleotides) under Paromoionchis boholensis. Its description in RNAcentral is "partial 12S ribosomal RNA". The record is from RNAcentral. Lineage: Eukaryota; Metazoa; Mollusca; Gastropoda; Systellommatophora; Onchidiidae.